Molecule: ribosomal RNA, 572 nt
Filed under: uncultured bacterium
Lineage: Bacteria
Description: partial 16S ribosomal RNA
Rfam family: Bacterial small subunit ribosomal RNA
Source: RNAcentral
UGGGGAAUAUUGCACAAUGGGCGCAAGCCUGAUGCAGCCAUGCCGCGUGUGUGAAGAAGGCCUUCGGGUUGUAAAGCACUUUCAGCGAGGAGGAAGGUGGUGGACUUAAUACGUUCAUCAAUUGACGUUACUCGCAGAAGAAGCACCGGCUAACUCCGUGCCAGCAGCCGCGGUAAUACGGAGGGUGCAAGCGUUAAUCGGAAUUACUGGGCGUAAAGCGCACGCAGGCGGUUUGUUAAGUCAGAUGUGAAAUCCCCGGGCUCAACCUGGGAACUGCAUUUGAAACUGGCAAGCUAGAGUCUCGUAGAGGGGGGUAGAAUUCCAGGUGUAGCGGUGAAAUGCGUAGAGAUCUGGAGGAAUACCGGUGGCGAAGGCGGCCCCCUGGACGAAGACUGACGCUCAGGUGCGAAAAGGCGUGGGGGCAGCAAACAGGAUUAGAUACCCUGGUAGUCCACGCUGUAAAACGAUGUCGAUUUUGGAGGUUGUGCCCUUGAGGCGUGGCUUCCGGAGCUAACGCGUUAAAUCGACCGCCUGGGGAGUACGGCCNCAAGGUUAAAACUCAAAUGAAUUGC